GAGACGCUGGCGGCGUGCCUACACAUGCAAGUCGAGCGGAGAUAAGAAAGAGUACUUGUACGAAUUUUUAUUUCAGCGGCGGACGGGUGAGUAACACGUGAGUAACCUGCCUUUCACUGGGGAAUAACAUCGAGAAAUCGGUGCUAAUACCGCAUAACGUCACGAGACCGCAUGGUAUUGUGACCAAAGGAGUAAUCCGGUGAAAGAUGGACUCGCGUCCGAUUAGAUAGUUGGUGAGGUAAUGGCUCACCAAGUCUGCGAUCGGUAGCCGAACUGAGAGGUUGAUCGGCCACAUUGGGACUGAGACACGGCCCAGACUCCUACGGGAGGCAGCAGUGGGGAAUAUUGGGCAAUGGGCGAAAGCCUGACCCAGCAACGCCGCGUGAAGGAAGAAGGUCUUCGGAUUGUAAACUUCUUUGAUCAGGGACGAAGAAAUGACGGUACCUGAAGAACAAGCCACGGCUAACUACGUGCCAGCAGCCGCGGUAAUACGUAGGUGGCAAGCGUUAUCCGGAUUUACUGGGUGUAAAGGGCGUGUAG
RNAcentral lists this ribosomal RNA (540 nucleotides) under uncultured bacterium. RNAcentral describes it as "bacterial SSU rRNA". It matches the Rfam family "Bacterial small subunit ribosomal RNA", at positions 30 to 574 of the family's 1533-position model. The record is from RNAcentral.